GACGAACGCUGGCGGCGUGCCUAAUACAUGCGAGUUGAGCGCUGAAGGUUGGUACUUGUACCGACUGGAUGAGCAGCGAACGGGUGAGUAACGCGUGGGGAAUCUGCCUUUGAGCGGGGGAUAACAUUUGGAAACGAAUGCUAAUACCGCAUAAAAACUUUAAACACAAGUUUUAAGUUUGAAAGAUGCAAUUGCAUCACUCAAAGAUGAUCCCGCGUUGUAUUAGCUAGUUGGUGAGGUAAAGGCUCACCAAGGCGAUGAUACAUAGCCGACCUGAGAGGGUGGACGGCCACAUUGGGACUGAGACACGGCCCAAGCUCCUACGGGAGGCAGCAGUAGGGAAUCUUCGGCAAUGGACGAAAGGCUGGCCGGGCAACGCCGCGUGGGUGAAGAAGGUUUUCGGAUCGUAAAACUCUGUUGGUAGGGAAGAACGUUGGUUGGAAUGGAAAGCGCAUCAAGUGACGGUAACUACCCAGAAAGGGACGGCUAACUACGUG
This 497-nucleotide ribosomal RNA is filed under the name uncultured bacterium. RNAcentral describes it as "partial 16S ribosomal RNA". It matches the Rfam family "Bacterial small subunit ribosomal RNA", at positions 28 to 507 of the family's 1533-position model. The record is from RNAcentral.